This 464-nucleotide ribosomal RNA is filed under the name uncultured bacterium. RNAcentral's name for it is "partial 16S ribosomal RNA". It matches the Rfam family "Bacterial small subunit ribosomal RNA", at positions 338 to 795 of the family's 1533-position model. The record is from RNAcentral.
CCUACGGGAGGCUGCAGUAGGGAAUUUUCGUCAAUGGGCGCAAGCCUGAACGAGCAAUGCCGCGUGAACGAGGAAGGUCUUCGGAUCGUAAAGUUCUGUUGAAGGGGAAAAAGAGCGGAGAGAGGAAAUGGUCUCCGAUUGAUAUUACCCUUCGAGGAAGUCACGGCUAACUACGUGCCAGCAGCCGCGGUAAUACGUAGGUGGCGAGCGUUUACCGGAAUGAUUGGGCGUAAAGGGUGCGUAGGCGGACUGCUAAGUCUGGAGUGAAAGGUACCGGCUCAACCGGUACAGGCUCUGGAAACUGGCGAGCUAGAGAGCAGGAGAGGGCGGUGGAACGCGAUGUGUAGCGGUAAAAUGCGUAGAUAUAUGGAAGAACACCAGUGGCGAAGGCGGCCGCCUGGCGUGUUACUGACGCUGAGGCACGAAAGCGUGGGGAGCAAAUAGGAUUAGAUACCCCUGUAGUC